RNAcentral lists this small RNA (77 nucleotides) under Xanthomonas fragariae. RNAcentral's name for it is "sX9 sRNA". It matches the Rfam family "Xanthomonas sRNA sX9". The record is from RNAcentral. Lineage: Bacteria; Pseudomonadati; Pseudomonadota; Gammaproteobacteria; Lysobacterales; Lysobacteraceae.
AUGUAGCACACGUACACCGCGGUUCCUCCGAGCCGUCCGCACUCAUCCUGGCGACUGCUCGCUACAUGUUGUUAGCU